GACCCGGCUCGGCCUCGCCCCCGCGACACGGCUCGGCCUCGCCCCCGCGGGAUUGCCGGGAGGAGGGUCGGAGCAGGAGAACAUUCGCCCACGCGCGUGGUAAACAGUUCCGGGCGCUGGAGGGAUCCCCGGGCUUGUUUUGGUGACUGCGCGCCCAAGGUGAAUAUAUAGGAAAUGACGAUCCAUUCCUGCGUGGAGGGCCAGCGCUCCAUCUUCACUAACACGAUAUAGUUGAAGAGCAUCAAGUAUCCGAUGUACGCCAGCUGUAAGGAAACACGAUACAGGGCUUUGGCUAAGGAGGCCUGGAGCCCUGCCUUUGGGCACAGCGGCCGCGUGGCAGCCCAGAGCAAGGUCAGCAGGCAGGACGCAGGAUUCACAACAAAAUGAACUUCAGGGCUUUAAACUAUUCAAAGAAUUAAAAAAAAAAGAGACUGUAAUAUUUGAAA
Long non-coding RNA from Suricata suricatta (meerkat), 446 nucleotides. RefSeq lists it as uncharacterized. NCBI's taxonomy places the organism in Eukaryota, Metazoa, Chordata, Mammalia, Carnivora, Herpestidae. The transcript has 2 exons. The record is from RefSeq and is a predicted model, not a curated record.